AUCUGGUUGGUUCUGUCAGUAGAGCAUGAGACUCUUGAUCUUGGGGUUGUGAGUUCGAGCCCCAUAUUGGGUG
This 73-nucleotide transfer RNA is filed under the name Felis catus (domestic cat). It matches the Rfam family "tRNA". From Rfam's summary of the family: Transfer RNA (tRNA) molecules are approximately 80 nucleotides in length. Lineage: Eukaryota; Metazoa; Chordata; Mammalia; Carnivora; Felidae. The record is from Rfam by way of RNAcentral. RNAcentral also lists the same sequence under 1 other name.